Molecule: long non-coding RNA, 217 nt
Filed under: Panicum hallii
Lineage: Eukaryota; Viridiplantae; Streptophyta; Magnoliopsida; Poales; Poaceae
Description: long non-coding RNA (PHAL_LNC000900)
Source: RNAcentral
UCGGCCAUGCUUUGGCAUCGCAUGUGCGUGGGCAGAGGAAGUUCAACCCGUGAGCAGGAAAACCCUAGGGUUCGCAGAGAAGUCGGUAUAGCGAACCCAUUCGGCUCCAUCGUCUCGUCCCAUGAUCCACGACAUCCAACAGUUCUUACCCCUCGUGGAUCGCUCAACCGCUAUCACCACAAAUCACCACAGAGACUACCCUUUCGGCCAUCUUCCA